CAGCUCGAUCGCCCUCCGCGGCGGGGCAGCGCCGGGGGCUGCGUGGGUCCCGCCGCGCCUCCCGCGGGCACCGGCGGCUGCUCCGUGCGGGGGGCGGGGGGUCGGGCAGGCUCCGCGCCCGCCUCCUCCUGGCCGGCUGCGGGCACGGCCCGGCCGACCCGUUCCUGGCGCAGGGCUGCGGGAGGACUCGCCUGCUGAGGACCGCUCCGGGCGUGCGGCGUGCCAGGCAGGCCUGCCUAGGGCUGCCGAGCGCCUGGCAGCCGGCUUCUGUAAAGCGCGGGAAGCACUGGUCUUAAGAAGGUACCGGGGUGGUCCGUGCCGUGCCGAGUUUGCCGCCGCCUGGCUGUGGGGGCAGGCCGAGGGGUUAGAAGCGUGUCACGGGUAGGAAGGCGUCCCGGGAAAAGGGUGCCGGCUUCAGUGGGUUACAGGAGCUGGGACGAGCCACAGGGGUGAAGACAGCCCAGCCCUGCGAGGAGGGGUGAAAGCACAGGCGUCUCCAUCCACACGUUGGUCUCUGAAGAGUUUGCUCCAAGAGCCGUCGUUUAUAGAUGUCAUCAUCAAGAACACAAGCAAACAAUUCCAGAAUCAAGGACAGAGUUGCAGGAGGCCUUUUAAAAGGGCCCUUACUGUUGCCUUUCUGUGCAAGUUCUUCUGAGGUCUGUGAAACUAAGAGGACUCAAUGGAGCUGACUGUUCACAACAUCACAAGCAGAGCAAAUGUAGCCCUAUCCAGAGAGAACCAGGCAGAGGACUCAGAAACUUCUCCUUCAUAGCUAUCAGGGAGAAAUAGAAGUCUUUUAUGUCAGCUUUCUGGUAGAAAUACUAUUUCUUACAAACGUUUCUAAGUGGAUUGUAUACACUCUGAUCUCUUUUAUGAACAGAUCUUGCUGCAUCUUAGCUUCCUGAGCAAUGUCAGUAUUUGCCUUAUUAUUCAGGCUGCCCUCUCUUCAGGGGCUGUCUUUUUGUUCCAUGACUCUGUCCUCCUACUCAAUGCCCUAAUUGCCAAGUGUUCCCUCUAAACUCUACCACAACACAGAUAUUAAAAAGUCACUGAAUACUAAAGUAAAUGAAAGUAUACUCAUGGCCACAGUCACACAUGCUCCUUGGCUACCCGGUGCAUUUGUGGCCUUAUGCAGGGUCCCUUUACCUUUACACAUAUGCACACUUAGAUCAGUCUGCUCCUGCCUCCACACUGUAUUUUAAAUAAAAAGCUUAUAGCUGGUUUCCUACCUGAGUACAUAGCUGACAUCUUAAGGACUAAGCUAACAUUAUAUUACUAGUCAGGAAGAGCCCUCCUCUAAGAGCAGUUCAGAAAACAAAUGCUUUUGUGUGUUCUGUCUGAGAAGCUUUCUUGCUUUGUGCAUUGACUUCCCCCAAAUUUGUCUCUGUUUUGUGUUUCACCUUUACUUGAAGACGGGGUAGAACUCCAGGAUGGGCUUCCAAGUCAUAAAACUGACUUCAGGAUGCAUCUUCUAUUUUGCUUCUGUGUUUAUAUAACAGGCCAUAAAUGUAUCUAAAUGAUAAGUUCUCUGCCAUACUUGAAGGAUUUUUUUUUUAGAUUGUUCUUUAAUUGAUGCCAUUCAAUACAAAAAAGAAUUCAAAAGCUCGCUUGGUGCCUCUGCAAAAUGCCAGGAACAUCUCACCCUUUGCAGAUAAUCUCUUCAUAUAAUGGUGCUAAAAUAUUAGUAAAAAUUGUGUUUAACUCAUAAAUAUUUACACCUAUUUGAAAUGCCAGAAUUUUGCUCUGUGACUCGCACAAAUCAACUGAGUAACAUUGUGUACAAUAAAAAGUGGGUCACUGCCAACUGUGGCUUAUAACCGCAAUGUGAUUUGCAAAUACAUCAAAUUGCUGCCUCAGGACAAGGUGCUGCUUUCAGAGCUCAAUGUCUCCAUUGACUACUGUAGAUUUGGAAUAGUGUUCCAACCUCACAUCUACCAUGAACUGCCAUAAUCUUCCUGCCUAAAUGAGAAGAGGAUUCACCUCUUUAAAAUGCCACCUUGACAUGGAAAAUGAACUGAGGAAGGACCAGCCUGUCCAAACAAUGCAAGUCCUACAAGAUACAUUAAUCCUCAAAGCUGCCUGAAGGAGACAACUGAGAACCACCAUCUCUGGACAGUGGUUUAGACAAUUGAGUCAAUGGAGACUUAUUGCAAAAAACAAAGACAAUUGUAUGGAAAACUGAAAAACAGAAAAAUCCUUUCUCGUGUGAAUGUCCCAGAUACUAGGUACAGCAACACACUUGCACUUUCUAAUCUUUUUGGCCCCAGGUAUCUUGCAUUCCUUUUUUUGUCAGGUGACAGCCUUCCCAUGGAAAAGCGGAGGGCUCUCUUCCCCACCUGUUAUGGUUUGAGGGGGCCCAGGGUAAUUUUAUGGUACCAAUACUGGGACCUAGAAAGAAGGGAUCAUGGGGUCAGAACAGAGAGGGGUCACUAUUCCCUCUCAUUUCCUGCCAUACUCUAUAAAAAGCCAGGAGGACUGGAACUCUGCCCUCUUCCUGCUCCGUUAUUCCUUGCUGCUUUCUUGCUCUCUUGGAGACAGGCUUCUGCUUUUUUGUCAGCUCACCACGUGCUCUGUGGGGUCCAAAUCCAUUGGGUGCUGGGAAGAGCUGUGGACCCUUUUUCUUGAGUUGGCCCUGCCGCAAGGGACCUCUGGACACUUAUACCUGCAAUAAUCAAGAUCAGGUUUUGCGUAUAUUUGUUCCUCAUCACGUGUGUUACUAUCCCUGCCUUGUUCCAGUAAACCUGUUCUAGUUUUAA
Long non-coding RNA from Apus apus (common swift), 2756 nucleotides. RefSeq lists it as uncharacterized. The transcript is spliced from 3 exons. The record is from RefSeq and is a predicted model, not a curated record. Lineage: Eukaryota; Metazoa; Chordata; Aves; Apodiformes; Apodidae.